AGGACGAACGCUGGCGGCGUGCCUAACACAUGCAAGUGGAGCGACGAACCAGGCUUCGGCCUGGGGCAGAGCCGCGAACGGGUGAGUAACACGUGGGUAACCUGCCCUGAUGAUUGGGACAACCCGAGGAAACUCGGGCUAAUACCGAAUGUGCCCUCCGGCCUCAAGGCCGCUGGGGAAAGGAGCUUCGGCCUCCGCAUCGGGAUGGGCCCGCGGCCCAUUAGCUUGUUGGUGAGGUAACGGCUCACCAAGGCAACGAUGGGUAGC
RNAcentral lists this ribosomal RNA (267 nucleotides) under uncultured bacterium. RNAcentral describes it as "partial small subunit ribosomal RNA". It matches the Rfam family "Bacterial small subunit ribosomal RNA", at positions 26 to 287 of the family's 1533-position model. The record is from RNAcentral.